RNAcentral lists this ribosomal RNA (555 nucleotides) under Ectopleura larynx. RNAcentral's name for it is "partial 16S ribosomal RNA". It matches the Rfam family "Bacterial large subunit ribosomal RNA", at positions 1839 to 2588 of the family's 2925-position model. Lineage: Eukaryota; Metazoa; Cnidaria; Hydrozoa; Anthoathecata; Tubulariidae. The record is from RNAcentral.
AAAUAUAUUAGAGGUGAUGCCUGCCCAGUGGGGAUGGUAUAAAAAUUAUAGUGAAAUUUUAUUUUCCCUAAACGGAUGCGGUAACUCUGACUGUAAUAAAGUAGCAUAAUUAAUUGUCAUUUAAUUGGUGGAGAGAAUGAAUGGCUAAACGUAUGUCUCAUUGUCUUGGGGGGGAGUUUUUGAAAUUAGAAUAAUAGUGAAGAUCCUAUUAAUCACCGUUAGACGAAAAGACCCUAUAGAGCUUGACUAUACUCUGUAAAUAACUUUCUGGAUUGGUAGUUUAGUUGGGGCGACUAUCUUUUAUAAGUAACAAAGAUAAGCAUAAUAAUGAAAAAGUUUUAUUGUUUAAUUAAUAAAUUUAACAAUUACUAAAGUAGGCUAUAAUGACCCAUUAGAAUUAAAAUAAAUCUAAUGAUUAUUAAAUAAAAGCUACCUUAGGGAUAACAGGAUAAUUUUGUUUUAGAGAUCAUAUCAAAUACAAAGUUUGUCACCUCUAUGUUGAAUUAAGAUGACCGAAUAAUGCAGAAGUUAUUUAAGGUAGGUCUGUUCGACCUU